Molecule: non-coding RNA, 82 nt
Filed under: Petrocella atlantisensis
Lineage: Bacteria; Bacillati; Bacillota; Clostridia; Lachnospirales; Vallitaleaceae
Description: c-di-GMP-I riboswitch aptamer
Rfam family: c-di-GMP-I riboswitch aptamer
About the family: GEMM was predicted in a large-scale screen for bacterial structured RNA regulatory elements. Genes associated with GEMM are involved in a diverse array of functions, including chemotaxis regulation, signal transduction, secretion and chitin.
Source: Rfam by way of RNAcentral
AUAAAAUAAAGGCACAGCUAUCGAAAGAUAGUGUCGCAAAGCUAUGGGUCUAAGGGGUUACUAUGAUUGCCAGGUUGCCGUU